UACAGAGGUCUCAAGCGUUGUUCGGAUUCAUUGGGCGUAAAGGGUGCGUAGGCGGCGGGGCAAGUCGGAUGUGAAAUCUCAGGGCUCAACCCUGAAACUGCAUUCGAUACUGCUCUGCUCGAGGACUGGAGAGGAGAUUGGAAUUCACGGUGUAGCAGUGAAAUGCGUAGAUAUCGUGAGGAAGACCAGUGGCGAAGGCGGAUCUCUGGACAGUUCCUGACGCUGAGGCACGAAGGCCAGGGGAGCAAACGGG
Molecule: ribosomal RNA, 253 nt
Filed under: uncultured bacterium
Lineage: Bacteria
Description: partial 16S ribosomal RNA
Rfam family: Bacterial small subunit ribosomal RNA
Source: RNAcentral